RNAcentral lists this transfer RNA (85 nucleotides) under Parcubacteria group bacterium. RNAcentral's name for it is "tRNA-Leu". It matches the Rfam family "tRNA". Rfam says of the family: Transfer RNA (tRNA) molecules are approximately 80 nucleotides in length. Their secondary structure includes four short double-helical elements and three loops (D, anti-codon, and T loops). Further hydrogen bonds mediate the characteristic L-shaped molecular structure. tRNAs have two regions of fundamental functional importance: the anti-codon, which is responsible for specific mRNA codon recognition, and the 3' end, to which the tRNAs corresponding amino acid is attached (by aminoacyl-tRNA synthetases). tRNAs cope with the degeneracy of the genetic code in two manners: having more than one tRNA (with a specific anti-codon) for a particular amino acid; and 'wobble' base-pairing, i.e. permitting non-standard base-pairing at the 3rd anti-codon position. The record is from RNAcentral.
GCCGGAGUGGUGAAAUUGGUAUACACGAUAGGUUUAGGACCUAUUGCCGCAAGGCGUGAGAGUUCGAGUCUCUCCUCCGGCACCA